UUUUUUUUUUUUUUUUUUUUUUUUGUGACAGAGUCUUGCUCUGUAGCCCAGGCUGGAGUGCAAUGGCAUGAUCUCGGCUCACUGCAACCUCUGCCUCCUGGGUUCAAGUGAUUCUCCUGCCUCAGCCCCCCGAGUAGCUGGGAUUACAGGCACCUGCCACCUUGCCCGGCUAAUUUUUGUAUUUUUAGUAGAGACGGGGUUUCCCCAUGUUGGCCAAGCUGGUCUUGAACUGUAUUUCUUUACAGCAAUGUGAGAACAGAUUAAUUCACAUGUCAUCCUUGCACAGGGGCCAUGCUGAUCUUCUCUGUGUCAUUCCUUAAUUUAUUACUGAAGAAAGAAAAAUACUUGUUACACAUUUAGCAUAGCCUACAUGUACAAUGUUUAUCAAGUCCACUGCAGUGUACAGUAAUGCCCUAGGCCUUCACAUUCACUCACCACUCACUCACUCAUUGACUCAUCCAGAGCAACUUCUGGUCCUGUAAGCCUCGUCCAUGGUAAGUGCGCCGUUCAGGUGUACCAUUUUUAUCUUUUUGUAAUUGUAAUUUUAAUUAAAAUAAAUUUUUUUUUAUAGAGUUGAGGUCUUGCUUCGUUGCCUAGGCUGGUGUUGAACUGCUGGCUUCAAGUGAUCCUCCCACCUUGGCUUCCCAAAAUGCUAGGAUUACAGGCAUAAGCCACUGUACCCAGCCCAUUUUUAUCUUUUUUUUUUCAUUUUAAAUUUAGUUUAUUGGUUAAAUCAUGAUAUAGAAGUUCACUGUUCAAAAAAUCAUUAAAGAUUAUUGUGGCCGGGUGUGGUGGCUCACGCCUGUAAUCCCAGCACUUUGGGAGGCUGAAGCAGGUGGAUCACGAGGUCAGGAGUUCAAGAUCAGCCUGGCCAAUAUGGUGAAACCCCGUCUCUACUAAAAAAAAUACAAAAAUUAGCUGGGCAUGGUGGUGUGCGCCUGUAGUCUCAGCUACUCGGGAGGCUGAGGCAGGAGAAUCGCUUGAACCCAGGAGGCAGAGGUUGCAGUGAGCCCAGAUCACGCCACUGCACUCCAGCCUGGGUGACAGAGUGAGACUCCGUCUCAAAACAAACAAACAAACAAACAAAC
RNAcentral lists this long non-coding RNA (1088 nucleotides) under Pan troglodytes (chimpanzee). Its description in RNAcentral is "long non-coding RNA NONPTRT014884". The record is from RNAcentral. Lineage: Eukaryota; Metazoa; Chordata; Mammalia; Primates; Hominidae.